CCCACGCAGCCUCGGUUACCCUCUCCGCCACCCGCUGGACCUCGGCUUCCAGGGCCCUGCCUCGGUUCGCCCGCCCUCAACCCCGCACUUGCUCUCGGCUUCCGCUCUUUCUGCCCAGCUCGACUCUCCCGCCCGCCCUCACCCCAGGUGCUACCCUCCCUUCGCCCUCUCUGCCCCGCGACCUCCCGCGCUUGGCGCCAGUGCCACCGCUUUUCGGUCCAGCUCGGAUCCUCCCGCCCGGCCUCGGCUCUUCCGCCGAGCCUCGGCUUCCCCCGCCCAGCUUCGGCUUCCUUCGCGCCUGGCUUCGGCUCUUUCCGCCCAGCUUCGGCUUCCCCAUCCGUCCUCGCCUGGCGUCCUACCAUGGCGCUGCCUGUCCCUCUCUGUCUCCGACCUGAAACUUCCCCUCCCUCCGUCCUGGCCAUGGCUCGGCUUCUCCGCCGCCCUUCCCGCUGCUUUUCGGCCCUGCUCGGCUCCUCCCGCCUGGCCUCGGCUCCUCCCAUUGGCCUUGGCUUUUCCGGUUCCUCUCGGCCGACCUCGGCUCCCACCACCCGUCUUUGGCUCCCCUCGCCCAGCCUUGGCUUCUCCGCCGCUCCUCGGCUCAGUUCGUUCAGUUCGGCUUUCUCCGCCCGGCUUCAGUUUUCUCCGAUUUCGCCGCUUCAGUUCGGCUCUUUCCGCGUCUCCCCAUGGCACCCUGGGCUCGGCGUGGCUCUGGGUCUGGUUGGGUCCUUGUCUUAGUCCGGGGGAGUUGCACUAAUUGAGUUCCCGUCAUUAUGAUAUGGAGGUGCCAGUGUCUCCACAUCCUGGUCAAUCUGUUAUCUUUUUAAAAGAAAAAAAUUCCUGAUCAAUGAAAAAGGGAAUCUCAAUGUAUUACUUCCCAUUUUUCUUAGGAGAGCCACUUGUAUUUCUGUGAACUGUUGUUAGCAUUUGCUCCUUUCUCUAAUUAACUCUUGGUCUUUCUCUUACUGCUUCGUAGGAGUUCUUGAAUACUAACAAAUUAUUAUGAGCAAUGUUCAAGCAUGGAAAUAAUUUUUGAAAAAAUGUACAGGAACAUUCAUCAGUAACAUUUUACUAUACUUUGUCAUAUACAUCUCUGUAUCAUCCAUCAAUUCAUCUUUUUAAAUGCAUUUUGAAGUAGGUUGCAGAUAGCUUACAUAUCAUUAAUUAGAGUUCAAAAUUUGGGGCUGGAAGAUCUAAGGUGGCUCAUCCCCUGGCUAGCAAUGUGGUGCUGGUGAGUUGGUUACUGGUUACGGGGCUGCUUGAGUCUCCUCAUGGCAUGGCGGAUGGCUUCUCCUAGAGAAAGAGCAAUAGAAGAGACCAAGGAGGAAGCUUCAGUGUGUCUUAUGACCUAGCCUCAGAUGUCACAUGCAACAGUGCUGUAUUGAUCAUAUGGGUCGUGUAUGAUUCAAUAUUGGAGGUGGGGUACACAGGACAGGAAUAUCAGGUGGCAAGGGUCUUUGGUGAGCAUUCUGAAGGCUAGUCAACACACCCACCUUUCCUUCAGACCACCUCUUUUCAUCAGCCCGGAAUCUCUUUUUUUGUGCUGGAGUGCCUGAUCUGAUUGUAGCUGUUUGAGGCAUCUGGAAUUCAUGGCCGGGUUUAGAACAACUUGGAAGGUCUCCUUUCCCCCUCUUCUCUUUCUUUUACCCUUCUCCCCUCUCUCUUCCUCUCAGCCUUACCCCCAACUCUAGUCUUUCUUUGCUUCUAGUGAGCGAGCAGGAGAUGCUCUGAGAGUCAACUGGGAAUGCAGCUGAUAAGGGUCUGCUGGGUGCAGGAAAUGUUGGAAGGUUUGCUUGCUGGGCUGUAUCACCUCCUGUAUUAUGGGAGCUUAGAGUAUUUGCCAGCUUGUCAGGACUACCAUCGUCUUCCAUGUUCUGAGACUGGAGUACCCAACAUUCCCCUAGCAGGGGACACUUGGCUUGAUAGGGCUCUAUCAAUCUAUAUUGUGAGGGUAGAGAUACUCAUAUUGCAAGGGGAGGCUGCAGGAGUUGCCUGCUGGGGCUAAGAUUAUUCCUUGUGUUUGGGAUAAAGGAGGGGUCACCGCAGGGGCAGUCAACUCAUGUUGGGGGAGACGGGAUUUGCAUUCUGGGCUCCCCUCCUCGUUUAUGUUAAGGGUGUUGCUUGCUGAUGCUUCUAUUAACUCUUACUUUGGGAUAAUGGGAAGAGAGAUAGUUUUCUGGGGUAUGAGUUUGUCACUUAUGUUGUAGAAUCUGGGGGGCUGCCUGUUGAGAUUCUGACCAUUGCUUGUUUUGGGUGUCAUUGCUGGGGAUACUUAUUUAUAGUCUUGGGAAGACAAGGGAUGCAUGUUGCAGCGGUAGUGGGUAAGAAUGGUGGCAUUUGCUGGAGUUCUUUUUUUUUUUUUUUUUUUUUUUGAGACAGAAUCUUGCUCUGUCUCCCAGGCUUGAGCGCAGUGGUGUGAUCUUGGCUCACUGCAAACUCUGCCUCCCGGGUUCAAGAGAUUCUCCUGCCUCAGUCUCCUGAGUAGCUAGGACUACAGGCACGUGUCACCACGCCCGGCUAAUUUUUGUAUUUUUAGUAGAGACGGUUUCACCAUAUUGGUCAGGCUGGUCUCGAACUCCUGAUCUCGUGAUCCACCCGCCUUGGCCUCCCAAAGUGCUGGGAUUACAGGCGUGAGCCACCAUACCCAGCCUGGAGUUCCUUUCUUGAGUGUGUAGAGGAUUGAGGGUUGAUUGGUUUUUGGAGUUUCCAUCAUUAAUGUAGGAGCGAUACGGGGAAUCACUUGGCGAAGCUUUCAUUGUCUCUGAUGUUGGAGGUAACUGGAGGGCCAGUGCCUGGGGCUUCCAUUUUUUUCUAGUGUUGAAGGGUCAAGAGCAUUUAUCAGAUAGAGGCCUUACUGUGUAUUGUUUGGGGAGAGGAUGGAGGGAUUAUUGGAUGGGGUUCCACUUAUCUCUAGUUGGGGAGGGUCAUAUUCUGGGUCUCCGCUUGCCUGUACUGUUGGUAUAGACUGGGUAGGCCAUUGGGCUUGGAGUCCCCAUUCUUUAGUGUUGAGGGGCAUCUGAAGGGGUCAUUUCAGGGACUUCUGUUAUAGUUUUGGACGUGACUGAGGGGUGCUUGCUGGAGUAGUUUCGCGAUGACGGAGGUCUUCAUGUUUGGACUCCAUCUUUUGUGUUUGUAAGUGAUUGAGGGGUGGAGAUCUGGCAUCCUGUUGCCUCUUGUUUUGAGGGUGACUGGUGGUUACCUGCUAGGGCUUCUGUCAGCUCUACUGCUGUAUGCAGAUUGUGAGAAUCACUUGCUGGGGCUUCCAUAAUCUCUAGUCUUAGGGGGACUGGGAAAUGGCUUGCCAUGCUUUCUAUUAUCUCUAGUUUUAAGGGACCAGUUCAAUGUGAUUUAAAACUCUUUUUAUUUGAAAAAAAAAAAAAAUUAGGGCUGGGCACGUUGGCUCACGCCUAUAAUCCUAACACUUUUGGGAGGCCAAGGCAGAUGGAUCACUUGAGGUCAGGAGUUUGAGACCAGCCUGGUCACCAUGGCGAAACCCCAUCUCUACUAAAAAUACAAAAAUUAGCUGGGCGUGGUGGUGCACACCUGUAGUUGCAGCUACUUGGAGGCUGAGGCAAGAGAAUUGCUUGAACCCAGGAGGCGGAAGUUGCAGUGAGGUGAGUGUGGGCAACAGAGUGAGACUCCGUCUGAAAAAAAAAAAAAGAUUUAGACGUAUAAAAGUGUUAAAACUAUACAGGCUUGAUUUAUACAGUCAAUAUUUAUUUGUAUUUGCUCACAUUUUAUCUUUCCUGAUUAUCCUUAUAUAUUUCUGGAAUUGCUUCCACAUGGAAUAAUUUUCCUCCAGCCCCAAAACUUUCCUUCUUUCUUUCCUUCUCCUUCCUUCCUUCCUUCCUUCCCUCCCUCCCUCCUUCCUUCUUUUUUUUUUUUGAGACAGAGUCUCGCUCCAUCGCCCAGGCUGGAAAGCAACGGUGCGAUCUCAGCUCACUGCAACCUCCACCUCCUGGGUUCAAGCAAUUCUCCUGCCUCAGCCUCCCAAGUAGCUGGGAUUAUAGGCGACCGCCACUACGCCCAGCUAAUUUUUUUUUUUUUUUGUAGUUUUAGCAGAGAUGGGGUUUUGCCAUGUUGGCCAGCCUUGUCUCGAACUCCUGACCUCAGGUGAUCCACCUGCCUCAGCCUCCCAAAAUGCUGGGAUUACAGGUGUGAGCCACCGUGUCUGGCCCAAAACUUUCUUUAGUGUUUCUUGAAGUGCAGUUCUGCUGGUGAUGAACUAUGUUGUUGCUGAAACACCAGGGGUUCAAUCUAGGUCCUGCUGCUCACCACUGCACAGAAAGCCUAUCGCUGAGACAAUGAGUAUUGCCAAGGAAGAAGGCUUUAAUCAGCUGCUGCAGCUGAGGAGGUGGGAGAACAAUCUCAAAUCCAUCUCCCUGACCAACUAAAAUUUGAGGUUUAUAUAGCAGGGAAGAAAUGUUACCAUGUGUGGGAAUACAGGAAUUAGGGAAGGGUAAGGAAGAGGAGUUGGUCAACAGGAAGCAGGUGGUCAGUUAGGCAAUCAUGAUGGGUGAUGGGUCUGAUGUCUCACUGUACAAAUGCAGUAUUCUGGUGCGUUUCAGCUCCUAGAUACUAUCUGGGAGGCCUGAUGGUUGGUUUCCUGAGAAAGGAACUCAGAUAAGAUAAAUGUAACUUUCUUAAGUUUUAAGAUUGGGAAGAUCAAUUUGUUUGUUUAUUCAAGGAAACCAUAAACAUCAGCAAUAUGGGAAAAUUGGGCCAGUUUCACUUUCAGGUAUUUAAAAGAAAAAUCUAUUGGAUUUUGGAUAUCAAUUCUUGUCCUUCACUUGGCGCUAAGUUCAUGUCCCUACAUAAGAUACAAAGGGGGCCGGGCGCGGUGGCUCCCGCCUGUAAUCCUAGCACUUUGGGAGGCCGAGGUGGGCGGAUCACAAGGUCAAGAAUUCAAGACCAGCCUGGCCAACAUAGUGAAACCCCA
Molecule: long non-coding RNA, 4936 nt
Filed under: Homo sapiens (human)
Lineage: Eukaryota; Metazoa; Chordata; Mammalia; Primates; Hominidae
Description: non-protein coding lnc-INSR-1:4
Source: RNAcentral